This 1463-nucleotide long non-coding RNA is filed under the name Pan troglodytes (chimpanzee). RNAcentral describes it as "lncRNA (ENSPTRG00000053267.1)". The record is from RNAcentral. Lineage: Eukaryota; Metazoa; Chordata; Mammalia; Primates; Hominidae.
GCAGUGAUGAGGAGCAUCCGAGGAUCACUGAGCACCUCGAGGAGAGGAGGAGCAUCUGGUGGAGAGGAGGAGCAUCUCGUGGAGACGAGGAGCAUCUGGCGGAGACGAGGAGUAGUAUCUGGCAGAGACGAGGAGUAGUAUCUGGCGGAGACGAGGAGGAGCAUCUGGCGGAGACGAGGAGGAGCAUCUGGCGGAGACGAGGAGGAGCAUCUGGCGGAGAUGAGGAGCACCCGGCGGAGACGAGGAGCACCCGGCGGAGACGAGGAGCACCCGGCGGAGACGAGGAGCAGCCACUGGAGACGAGGAGCAGCCGCUGGAGACGAGGAGCAGCCGGUGGAGAGGAGGAGCAUCUCGAGGAGAGGAGGAGCAUCCCGUGGAGAGGAGGAGCAUCCCGUGGAGAGGAGCAUCCGGUGGAGACGAGUAGCAUCCGGCGGAGACGAGGAGUAGCAUCCGGCGGAGACGAGUAGCAGCAUCCAGAGGAGACGAGUAGCAGCAUCCGGAGGAGACGAGGAGUAGCAUCCGGCGGAGAGGAGCAGUAGCAUCCGGUGGAGAGGAGGAGGAGCAUCCGGAGGAGAGGUGGAGGAGUAUCCGGCGGAGAGGAGGAGGAGCAUCUGGCGGAGAGGAGGAGGAGCAGCCGGGGGAGACGAGAAGCAGCCGGUGGAGACGAGGAGCAGCCGGUGGAGAGGAGGAGCAGCCGGUGGAGACGAGGAGCAGCCGGUGGAGAGGAGGAGCAGCCGGUGGAGAGGAGGAGCAGCCGGUGGAGAGGAGCAGCAGCCGGUGGAGAGGAGGAGCAUCUCGAGGAGAGAAGGAACAUCCGGUGGAGAGGAGGAGCAGCCAGUGGAGAGGAGGAGCAGCCGGUGGAGAGGAGGAGCAGCCAGUGGAGAGGAGGAGCAUCCGGUGGAGAGGAGGAGCAUCUCGUGGAGAGGAGGAGCAUCUGGUGGAGAGGAGGAGCAUCUGGUGGAGAGGAGGAGCAUCUCGUGGAGAGGAGGAGCAUCUUGUGGAGAGGAGGAGCAUCUCGUGGAGACGAGGAGCAUCUGUUGGAGGGGAGGAGCAUCUGUUGGAGGGGAGGAGCAUCUGUUGGAGGGGAGGAGCAUCUGGUGGAGAGGAGGAGCGUCUGGUGGAGAGGAGGAGUAGUAUCUGGUGGAGAGGAGGAGCAUCCGGUGGAGACGAGGAGCAUCUCGAGGAGAGGAGGAGCAUCUCGAGGAGAGGAGGAGCAUCCGGUGGAGAGGAGGAGCAUCCGGUGGAGAUGAGGAGCAUCCGGUGGAGACGAGGAGCAUCUGGUGGAGAGGAGGAGCAUCUCGAGGAGAGGAGGAGCAUCCAGUGGAGAGGAGGAGCAUCCGGUGGAGACGAGGAGCAUCUCGUGGAGACGAGGAGCAGCCGGUGGAGACGAGGAGCAGCCGGUGGAGACGAGAAGAGAGAGAUAGGUUCCUCUCAAUCUCCGCCGGGUCCUCACUCUCAUCUCG